This is a long non-coding RNA of Magnolia sinica, 3674 nucleotides long. RefSeq lists it as uncharacterized. The transcript has 3 exons. The record is from RefSeq and is a predicted model, not a curated record. NCBI's taxonomy places the organism in Eukaryota, Viridiplantae, Streptophyta, Magnoliopsida, Magnoliales, Magnoliaceae.
GGGUUUACCUUUUGUUCUACUUCUUUUUCCCCAUCGAUUCCCACUAUUAACAGAUUCUUUCUUGCAGAUUUGCUCAUUUACAUUUAAAUCAAAAUGCACUGAAGUAUUAUAUUGCUGAAUGAUCUUUUCCCUAAACUGUUUCAAAGUCCCUUCGAUAUGCUUGUAUGGUAAAAAAAAACUUUAUUUUGCUUUAAAUUACUGGUAAAUCUACAUUUUAAGUAAAUAUGGGAUUUUUUAAACAUAUUUUUCAUUGUAAUGCUUUAGAAGGAAAACAAAAGUUAAAGAACAAAACCAGCUCAGUAGACAAGCUGGGUAAUGCACGUGCUCUCCUGGGGUAUGACUUGGGAUUGAGUCUUGCCACGGGUGUUUGGCGAGGGAGUAACGGCCAAACUAAUACCUUUUUAGUUCGCCCCCUUCUCCUUUGUGAUUUUUUAGUUUCUACCAAUUAGGCCAACCCACCAUGGUAUGCCAAAAUGGUUACGUAACGGUAACAGUUGUAACUGUUACAUAUUAAUGGGGAUGAAAUAACCAUAACGGCUGUUCCAGAAAAAAUGGCUAUAAUGGGUCUGAAACAGUUUUUUUUUUUUUUCAAAAAAAAAAAGAGAGAAGAAGGCCAUAACAUAACAGUAACAGCUAUGGCCAUCGUUGCCGUUAUGGAAUACCUUGCAACUGCAGUGCACUGGUCAGCAAACUAUUUCCUAGGUUGAUAUGGAUUCUACAAUAUGGGGAUGUAUUUAUUUAUUUAUGUUUUUGUAAAUUAAAGUUAAUAACUUGCACGAGACUGAACAUUGGCUUUAUUUAUUGGGGAAACUGUCUUACACAAAAGUGGGGCUACAUGUGUGUCCUCCUCGUCUACCCCAUGAAAUGUGAAUAUAGUUUCUUAUGGAGUUAUUUGUUUGCUAGUGCUAUCUACUGUGAGGUUCUGAAAGUUGGCCUUUAUCUGUUGAAUAUUGGCCAUUGUAGCAUUAACAGUGAGUGCUGUAAUUGAACUAAAGAAGAGGUGCUAGUCCUUGUGACCAUCUUCAACACUGAGGUCUUGGUAUCGAUUCCCUAGUGGGGGUGGCUAACAGUGAUGUGUGAACUGACAGUGGGGUGUACUAACAAGCUAACAAAAAAAAAGUCCUUGUGAUCAUCAAGGCCAUUAUGUUCUGUUGUAAGAGCUGUGGCCUAUUGAGCAAUCAAGUCGAGAAUUUACUGUACAUAUAUAAUUAAUAAGGAAAGAUUGUGUAAUAAUAUACAGCUUGCAAUUAGAUUUGGUAAACACGCGGCUCUAACUUCAAUAUAGAUGGUGGGAAUCCUAUGACACAAAUUAGAAUGAGAUUUCAGAUCCCAUUUUGAAAUGUGUGCUGGAUUUCUGCCCACUGUCUUGGGACAGUGGUAGAUAUGCGUGGACUUACUCACUGAAGUUGGUGCAUGAUUAAGUUUUUUAAAGACUGGGUUUAGUUGCAUGCACUGGUCAUGUAUGAGUUAAUUAGGCAUUUAUAAGAGGAGGUUCUAUGGUGUAUUUUUGCAGAUGAUAUAAUUUUGAUUGACGAGAAAAGGGAGGGGGUAACCCAAAGCUAGAAUUAUGGAGUGAUGCUUUUGAAUCUAAAGGUUUUAAAUUACUGGAAAAAAAAAAGAGUAUAUGAAAUGCAAAUUUAGUAAGUGUUGGUUAUUCAUGAGAACAAAGAGAGUGAGAACCAUGUUGCUCUUCGAGUUAGUGCUGGGUGGAUGAAGCGGGGAUGCACCUAUCGAGUUUUAUUUGAAUGCUGCAUACCAAAUUGAAGGGGAGAUUUUAUAAGACAUAAGACCAACCAUGCUUUACGGCUGGAAUGUUGGGCAGUCAAAGAAUAAUACGUUCACGGAAUAAUAAAUGAGGCGGUUGAGAUGGAUGAGUGGCAAGACGAGGGAGGAUUGAAUUAGAAAUGAAUUCAUUCGAGGGGAACUUAGAAGUAGCCCCAGUAGGUAAUGAGAUGAGGGAAAGUAAGCUUAGAUGGUUUGGCCAUAUGUAUUUGAGACCAAGAACUGCACUGGUGAGUAGGAGUGAGUAGGUUCAAGUUGAAGGCAUGGCAGGGAGAGCCUAAAAGGACAUGGGUGGAGGUAGUAAGAAAAGAUUUGAUGACCUAUGACUUUUCCAAGGAUAUCUUGGACAGAUUGGAGUAGUGGAAUGGGAUUCAUGUAGCCGAUCUCAAUUAGUUGGGAUGAGCUUUGAUGAUGAUGAUGGUUGGGUUUAGUUGCAUGUAAUGGGAGUAGACAAGGUGAACUGGAUUCAGGAGUUGUAGAUUGGGGCCCAAAAUUUGGUUGAAUGUAGUGGGUUUAAUCUUGUGGUAUGUGGAGCCCGAAAUUUAAAAUAUGUUUACCUUUACCAAAACUAAGAAAAAUUAAUAUGUCCAUGUUGUUACGAUAAUUGAAGACUUUUAACAAUAAUCAUAAUCAUCUUAGCCUUCUUCAACCCUUAGCAAUAUAAUAUUGGUGGAAGUAAAGGUGGACUCGGAGUCAUGGUAGUGUCAACUAGUGUUGGACUUGGAAGGGGUCUUGAAGGAGGAUUGGCAUUCUUGUUGGAGUCUUGCUAUAAAUGAUGGGGGUUCAGUUAUGAAUCUUAUGAUACCACACCAUCUCCAUUAGUUGUCAACUAUUUUGAGCGAUCGACUGAUAAAUAUAGGUUGUUUCUUUCUGGAAUUGUUAUCUGCAUUCUUUGACUGAUAAAUACACGCUUCCUUUCCUUUGUUAUACAACAGUACGAUUUUUUUUAAAGAUAACUGCAAAAUUUUUCGAAUAAGAAGAAAAUCACAUCAAAUGGAAUUUGAAUUCUGCCACGAGUGGGAAGGAUUGAUCCUCCUCUAGGUAGACAAUCUGCUAGAAAAUUCGCCUCUCUGCCAACGUGGUGUUUCUUCAUCAACAAAACAAAAGAUGUUUAUCGCAUGUGGAUAAUAAUUCCACUAUAAAGUUGCAUGCUGUUGUGCCCAGAUGCGUCAAAAUAGUGAUGUGGAGGCAUGGCCUGCAUUGAGGUCGAGAAAGAUUUUCCAAAACUUGUUCAGAAUCGAAGUGGUUGGGAGGACCUAGUUUGCCGUUGAACUAUGUUUAACUCCAAAUCCUGAUGAGGUAACUGACUCUAAGCAGGAUAGUUAUUGAUGUAUGCCAUAUUCGUUGGCUGGAAAUACUAAAUACUUGUGAUAACAAAGGUGAGUAGUAUAUAAAUACAUGCAGCAUUAUAAUUGGGGUAGGGAAAUGUCAUUCUGUGUGUGUUUUCUUUUUUCAGAAGCUCUAUCCUAUAGUAAUACUUAAAUAUCUUUUAUGGAUUUGGAGUGGCUGGACUGAUAGUAUAAAGAAUAAGAGGAAUGAUCUGGGUUAUGUUCUGGAGUAAACAAGUGCUCCAAUUGCCCUCGCUUGAUUCCAAGAGUAGGGCUCACACUAACAAAAUAUUGUGUGGAAGGAGGGAGGGAGAGAUUCUUUCUUUGGCCCUUUGCAGAUACCCUUUGUAAGGAGAUCAUAGGUCUUCUUUGUAUAAUGGGCAAUCACUACCACUAUCUUGUACUUUCCCACUCAGCUUUAAUAGAAUUGCUAUGUGUAAAAAAGUAAAUUAGACAGGGAACCUGCUUGUGUUGCUAAAUAAUUGCAUUCUUGACCAUCAUUCAUUCACUCUGUAUUAGUUCGUCGUAUACUUGGACUUGAAAUUUAUGGUACUCAAUCUGGUU